UAAUCGAAUCUCCCGUCAUUAGUACGGAAUUUUCUUCCGUGUCAGAUCAGAGAUAAAUCAAGAUAUCACUGCCUAUAUCAACACAUCUUUCAAUCGAACACGACGGCAUGGCAUUGUUGGUGAGAUUUUAAGUGUACCUUGGAAUUGGAUUUUCCCCCGCGGCGCGGUAAGGGUGUGAUUUCUGAAAAUUUAUCGCAUUGUGAAGACCAGUUUUGAUGGAUUUAUUGUGAUACCGUUUAACCUGGAUUAGCCUGCCCAAUAUUAACACAUUUUUGAAUUGAACACGGUGGCAUGACACUGUUGGUGAGGUUUCAAGUGCAACUGGUAGAAUUGGAUUUUCUUUCGUUGUGCGGUGCAACGUGAUUUGUGAAAAUUUAUUGCAUUUUGAAGACCAGUUUUGAUGGAUUUAUUGUGAUAGCGUUUAACCUGGGGAUCAGGCCCAAAUAGAAAAUUGCUCCUUAGUUGAAUAGUGCGAAAAUACCUUACCUCCUAAUUUGACUGCUACUCCGCAAGGCUUAGAAAGCCAAGUGGAGAUAUACACAAAAGUAUAUUCGUGACUAAUGAUAUCUAAACCGCCAAAUACUGCCACUUUUUGCAAUUUGCGAGAACGUCUGAAAAUAUGAACAGCUUUCAGUUGUUUAAUGGCGGAUUGCGAGUUAAAUUUCUCUCCUUUUUCUAAUCAAAAACGUUGAUAUCAACAAAAAUCAGGAUCAUUCGCUACAUGCGCAAAAAUAAAGCGCUCGCAAAGAUUUGUUCACAAACGGUUGGUUUACAGUAUACUAUUAGCACUUGUGAAAUUACCAUGGCGUUUUACGGCAAUUGGCAUUGACUGAUCGGAUUAGAUAUCUGUCAUCGUCGCCUUGUUGGCGAGGUGUCACACAGGUAGAGAGCGAAUACGGAAAAAUGGUGCAGCGAACGGGAGGUGCGGCCGUGGUGUUGGUAGCAGUGGUUGCGGCAGUACUCACAGCAGGGGACGACUACGACGAAGAAGAUGAAGAGGAAGAUGACCUUGAAGAUGACCUUCAUCACUACAGACCUAGCACGUAUGCUCCACCAGUCUCACCGGAACCGGAUAUCAACACCAAGCAGUACAAGGGCGAGACUUUAUCCGAGGAAAACAAAGCCGAGGCAAAGGAGUAUGAGACUAAUGACAUCACAGGGAAACAUGAUUACGACAAAGAUAAAUACACAGAUACCGAUGACGAAUAUGACAGGUAUGAAGCAGAUGGAAAGGGAAAAUAUGAUGACACUGAUGUCGAUAAAGAAAAGUACACUAAAACUGAUGGCGUUGGUGAAAAGUUUCCAAAAACUGAUGGCAACGUUAACAAAUAUGGCCGAAAGGGCACCGAUGUGGAUUAUGUUGAUGAGUAUAUUGAUGGCUUGAUGGAGAUGGAAUCGGAUGAUAAUGCCUUGGCGGGGACAUCGGUGGGCGAAGGCGAUAAAUCCACUUCAGGGAGAGACAGAGUAAUAAUCGUACAUAAAGGCAGCAAAGGUGACGACGGUGACAUUGCACCUGAGACUGGCACAGAGUCAGCACCUCUACAGAAGGGAAUCCCCGAGAAGGCGGCAAAGGUUAUUCAGGGGUCGGGUGCGUCGCAGCCAAGGCAGUUUUUGUGGGUUCAAGCUUCCUUGGUGUUAGUGGUGGUUGUGUGGGGGAUUAUUUGUUAGCUGAUCAAUCUGCAACAACUGAAAUUCGUUUAUACACCGGUACCAAAUUGAGAGACAUUUGUAUCUAUAUACACUUUUAAAUUGGAUAUUUAUUUCACAGGAGGGGAGUUUUGAAAUGUGAUAGUUCUCAAAUAUACAUUCAUACAAAGUUGAUACUUGAUUUAAAACUAGCAAACCGUUGAUAAGUCUUCGGUUAACGUCAAGGAAAUAAUCAAAAAUAUGAAAUCAAUAUAUCAACACCUGGAUACAUCAAAGUGUAUUUAAGAAUUAAAAGACGAGCUUAUCAAAAGAUCAUGGAGCAAAAUUAAAGCCAUGCUGAAUGCAUGCUAAUAAUAAGUUAAGGUUAAUGCAAAAGUUAAGGGAUGAAUGAUAGAAAAAUUUAAAUGAAAGCUAGAUUAGGCAAUAGAUAUAUUGACACAAAUUAUAGGACAUCAAUGAAGAUUUAUAAUAUGAAGGCACAUUAUACAAUUAAUAGUACUUUUAAACAAAACUGAAUAAUUGCACGCUUGAUACAAUAGGACAGUUAUUCUACUGACGACAAUUAAGUAAUAUACAUGUAGUAAUUAAAUGUGUUUGUGAUAAUAACAGACGAAUAUCCGUACUGUGCCGUACAUAUGAUAAAGUUUAUUGAACUCUAAAAAAAUAUUUGUUUAUCAUCGAUGUUUAUAGGCACCAUUUAAACCAGAUAGACAUUUCUAAAUACUUUUUAUGAUUUACAAAUCCAUUUUAAAAUUUUCUUAUACAACAAGAAUGUGCUUCUUGCGCCAUGACAAAAAGGCGACACCAUUUCAUCAACGUGAUAUAUUGCAAAAGAAUAAUUAUUGGUAAAACAGAAGAAUUAUUAAGUAGAGAAAGUUGUGACAGGUUCUUAAACAUUAUCAGAAUGCAUUUAUUUAUUUAUUUUUGUGAGUUGUUUUAUUAUAAUUAGAUUAAGGAUAAUAAAUAAUUGCAUACCAUUAUCUGCUGAUAAAAUCAAAUAUUGUUGUAUACUGUGCCGUUUUAAAAGUUUAAGGAAAUCUAUGUUGUCAGUUCAUUAUUAAGACAGCCUUAAAAUGUGAUUAUGUAUCAACGAUAUACGCGGGGAAUAGUGUAUAAUAACGUCAGUGUAGCACAAGUGUAAUGUUCUUUGGGUGGAAUAACGCGUAAGUUAAUGGGGACUUACACAGAAGGUGUCGCUCUUCUGGAACAUGCAAGUUCUACCGUUCCCCAAACCGUGUGGGAGAACGGAGACUCAAAAACGCUUCACUUGGUUCACUUGGUGUCUGGUGGCACGGAAAUUUUCUCAUAUCCAGAAGAACGUGGUCAUAGAUCUGCCUAAGUGGCCCGUAACUAUCAUAAACAGCGCACUUAGUGCCUGACCAAGAUGACAGAUAUCUCACCCAUUAUCUAUUUGGUGACGUCAGGGUACACGUUUUGCAUUUAACAUCGUACCUGCAAAAAAAACGGGUGUGAAUCAUCCAUUCGUUUCUGCAUGCUGGAAGCACAACAAUGAUAUGGCUAUAUCUGACACAAACGCAAUCUCCCUCAUAGAAAGCAGAUUCUUUGCAAACAGUUUACAAUUCAGUUGAACUUUCUAAGGUAAAUUCGGUUAGAAAAGGCGCAUUUGACAUCUAAUGAGGCAUGAACCAAACGUUAGAUUUGGCAACUAGAGGAUGAAUUGAAUGAUGGAUGGUGACGACUCAGCUGAUUGAAUCGAAGGAUGUUUGACAAUUUGAUUUAACGCGUUUCGCGUUGUUAACUUAAAUGCGAUACACAUCUACUGAACAUUUGCCAUAGAUUUGCCAGAUGCAAACGCGUCGAAACAACUAUAUAUUGAAAAGGAAAUAGGUACAGUUUUAUGAGCUAUGUCAUAUGUCAUGAACAUCUGAUACUUUAAAAAAAGUGACACGAAAUAUAACUGACGCAUAAGAAUUUUUAAAGACUCAACCCUUUUCUAUUUCUCAGAGAUUGGGGCUGAAAUACGGAUAAUGGGAAAACUGAAGUAAAAUCAGUUGUUCCUAGUUCUGUGUUAUUCUUGGGAAGUUUCUGACAAUACACGCCGUCGUUGAACAGCCAAUAAUAAUCGAACAAAUAUUCUACUGGGAAAUACAGGAAGUGCACAGCUAAUGGAUUACAUGUUCGAGUUGCUUUGAUAAAAACUUCCACCAUUGACUGUUUUUAGGCGACCAAGCAAAACAUUCCAUAUAGGCAUGAACAACGUUUCUAUGAAAAAGUAACCUUAUUAGCUCCACAUAAAACAGGAAUAGGAAAAAUCAAUGUGGUUAAUGUGGUAUAUAUUUUUUGACAAACUUCCAUCAAUGAGAAUACAGGAUGAAUAGAUCUGAAACACAGGUCGCCUUGAACUUUCCAUCACCCCGAAUCUGAUUGGAUGUAAAAGUCACCAUGCUCUGACGUCAGGGAGGAUCAACCAAUGGGAAUCUAGCAACAAGCUAAGAUCGAAAAGAAAAAGACGAUGUCACGUUCUGCAUCCUCAGCGUCGAUGACACGAAAAAAGGUAAAUCCGCUGCCAACACCCAAAAGGUCGCUUUCUUCGCGGGCCUCAAAGACAA
RNA transcript from Lineus longissimus, 4217 nucleotides. It is a transcript of the gene named C1q-related factor-like, with no coding region annotated. The transcript has 3 exons. Lineage: Eukaryota; Metazoa; Nemertea; Pilidiophora; Heteronemertea; Lineidae. The record is from RefSeq and is a predicted model, not a curated record.